GCCCGGGUGGUGAAAUCGGUAGACACACAGGACUUAAAAUCCUGCGGCCAGUGAUGGCUGUGUGGGUUCAAGUCCCACCCCGGGUACCA
RNAcentral lists this transfer RNA (89 nucleotides) under Bacteroidota bacterium. Its description in RNAcentral is "tRNA-Leu". It matches the Rfam family "tRNA". From Rfam's summary of the family: Transfer RNA (tRNA) molecules are approximately 80 nucleotides in length. Their secondary structure includes four short double-helical elements and three loops (D, anti-codon, and T loops). Further hydrogen bonds mediate the characteristic L-shaped molecular structure. tRNAs have two regions of fundamental functional importance: the anti-codon, which is responsible for specific mRNA codon recognition, and the 3' end, to which the tRNAs corresponding amino acid is attached (by aminoacyl-tRNA synthetases). tRNAs cope with the degeneracy of the genetic code in two manners: having more than one tRNA (with a specific anti-codon) for a particular amino acid; and 'wobble' base-pairing, i.e. permitting non-standard base-pairing at the 3rd anti-codon position. The record is from RNAcentral. Lineage: Bacteria; Pseudomonadati; Bacteroidota.